Neofelis nebulosa (Clouded leopard) is the source of this 686-nucleotide long non-coding RNA. RefSeq lists it as uncharacterized. Lineage: Eukaryota; Metazoa; Chordata; Mammalia; Carnivora; Felidae. The transcript has 2 exons. The record is from RefSeq and is a predicted model, not a curated record.
ACUGCACAAAGAAUUUCAGAAAGAAGGUGUAAACAUGAAGCUAAUGUAUAGUCUUAACAGCUGCAUCAUGGACAAGCACCAUCGCCACAGAUUCAGCUUUAAAAGACAGGAUAUGGGGUCAGUGGUUUUCAAUGUUUUUUCUGCUUCCAUCCCAUCCAUAGCCACCGAGAGCAUGUCCUGUCAUCCAGAAUAUUUUGCAUUAAAUGAUUCGUAGCAGUUCAAUGGUGCAGCAGAGAUGCAGAAGCUGCAAUUUGUGUCUCGGUGGACUUCCUCCUUCUGUCUUUCCCUUCCUUCUUUCUUUCCUUCCUUUCUCCUCAGAGUAAUAGAACUCUGUGUUUAGCUGGGAAGAUGUCUGCCUAGAAUGAAGACUCUAUUUUCUAGGGUGUCUUGCAGAAAGGUGCAACAGUUGACUAAGAUCUGAGCAAUGAGAUGCAAGUGUCCUUAAAAGUAGGAGCCGUUCCCUUCUUUCCUGUUAUGUCAGCUGCAACAGGAUGUGAAUGUAAUAAUGGUGCUCCAGCAGCCACAUAUGACCGUAAAUGAACUCAAAAUGGAAUCCAUGCAUACAUGGAGUAAAAAGAUAAAGAAAGCCUGCAACCCUAACACUGUUGAAUCCCUAACCAGCCUUGCAAUGAUCACUUCCAGUCUUCCUGACAAGAGAGAAAUAAACUUCUGUUUUCUUCAAGUCA